Danio aesculapii is the source of this 381-nucleotide long non-coding RNA. RefSeq lists it as uncharacterized. The record is from RefSeq and is a predicted model, not a curated record. The transcript has 2 exons. NCBI's taxonomy places the organism in Eukaryota, Metazoa, Chordata, Actinopteri, Cypriniformes, Danionidae.
ACAGAUCUCAGAUCAGCACAGACAGCAGCUCCUCAUCAUUAUCAUCAUCACAUCAUGAUGAAGAUUCUGGCUCUCGCUCUGCUGGUGGCGGCUCUGCAGACUCUGUCGUAUGCACAGGUAACCCCAGCACCAACUGCUAAAGCCACAACAGCUUCUACAGCUACUAAUGUCACAACAGCUUCUACAACUACAGCUACUACACUGACCCGCAAAUCCACACCCAACUCCACCAUUGGACUGUCAGUCCGGAUGGCUCCAAUGCUGCUCUCGGUCUCCAUGUCUCUGUGGUGACCCUGUCCCUUAAUGUAGGGUUAACUGCUGGAAUUAUUAUUAGACAUCAAUGCUGUAAAAUAUAAGAAAUAAAAUAUAUGUUCACACAAA